Molecule: long non-coding RNA, 4397 nt
Filed under: Eutrema salsugineum
Lineage: Eukaryota; Viridiplantae; Streptophyta; Magnoliopsida; Brassicales; Brassicaceae
Description: long non-coding RNA (ESAL_LNC000166)
Source: RNAcentral
AUUCUCAAUAUAACACUAGAAUUUUACAAAUACAUAACCAAAUAAAGUGCAAGCGUACACUUUUAAAGUUGGAGUACAAUCAUAAACACUCAUCAUUCUUACAUAAUAUCACAUAGCUAUGUUAUACAGAAAGAACGGAUUACAUAAGAAUCUCAUUCAUAUGAAGUCUUUAAAGGUCUACACACAUAUAUUUCGAAAAUUAUAGACUUAACUAGACUGAGCAGUCAUGACAAUCAAUAUCAACGAUAAGGAGGUGGAUUUGGUCCAAGAGGUCUUGGAAACCAGAGAGCUCCGGGAGGUGGACGAGGUGGCUGAGGUCCCCGAGGAUUAGGAUGAGAAGAAGGAGGAGGAGGAGGGUGUGGUUCUGGAUGCGGUGGUCUUGGUGGCUGUGGGUUGUCCUUAGGAGGAGGAGGACGACGAGGAGGAGGAUGAGGCAUUUUGAUUUUGAGCUUUGUUAUUGUAAUAUUUGUGUUGUGUACUUGGUUUAUUUAACAGCAAGAUUGAAACAUCAUUGUUACCAACAAGUCUUUGAAAGUGUAAAAGAAUCUCACUAGUAAUAUGUUUGGUAUAAUGGAAUGGUAGUUAUCCACCUAAUCUUCUAGCCAACUUAGUCUAGACUCUAGAGAGAAAUUUUCUUGGUGAGAUAAAUUUGACUGAAUAGUAGCAUUUUGUUGUGAGUCCACAACUAUUGUUCAAAACUAAAAUAGUGAAAUUGGUGUUUGAAGUAUUCCUACUAAAAAGUAUGAAAACCUCUUUCUUAUCCUGCACCAUUCCGUUUAUCAAACCAAAUCUUGGUAUCUCCAGUACCAAAAUCACUAAACCAAGAUAUGACAACUUUGAAUUCGUGCUUAAUUAUAUGUUGUGAUUAAUUACAUUUGAUGUCGGACAAUCAGCAAAGUUAUGGCAGCUGAAGCAAAGAAGAUAGAAGAGAUUCCCUUAAAAAUACUUGGAAGCACACUUGAAAAUGGAAGUUAUACAAAGCUUUAUAGCCUCAAACAUAUCACCAAUGCUUUCGCAGUCCGUACGACUCCUUUUCAGGUUCUCCUCACCUCCAAAAGUUAAUAACUCUAUCCGGUUUGAUUAUACUAUGUUUCCGGUUUUGUUCCAAUGCAUUAUUCAAAUUUUAUAAAUCGAGUCCAAUUUUCAAACUUCAGGGAAUUUAAAUGCGUAAUUAGGAUUAGUCGUUAGUCAAAUCAAUAGCUUUUCAUUAAUUGUCCAAUCUAAUGUAGGUUUUACAUCAAUCCCCCAUCUCAAUUUGGUUUGCUUCUACCUUUGGUUUACUUUGGCUUUGUUAAACCGGAAACGAUCCUCUUUAAUACUUGCAGGCCAAGAAACUGAAGAAAGGAAAUGGAGUGAAGGCAGUAGAAGAAGACAAACGAGUGAAACUAAUGACAAUAUACACUCCCAAUUUCUUGGAACUUCCUCAACAAGUCUGGCCAAAGAUCUCCAGCGACGGAGACAGACAUGUGACUGUGAGACCGGUCCUCUCUUCCCCGAGGGAUCUCGUAACGGAAAAAUCAUCUCCGCAAGGUUCUUUUCCGCCGGAGAGCUUCCGUUGCUCUCAACGGCUCCUUGGAUAUACUCUCUCCCUUCGAUCCUUCCCGUCAUGGAAGGUAUAAAUAUGUUGCAUGUCACUAUCAUUUUGUUUCAAUUUUAAAUAUAUCUUACGUUUUGGUAAACUAUUAGAAAAGUUAGCCUCACGCGCACGGUUGGUCAUAAAAUCAAAUUAUAAUUAGCUCAUAUAUUAAGUUUUAAGACUAAUAGUACUCUCUAAUUUGUUUUUAAACUAUUUAACGAGUUAUAUUAAUUGGUCCACGUGACAGAAUAGCCGUUUACAAGGCGAUUUACCCAUCGAUAGGUAAUUCUUGUUGACGUAAUUGCAGCCAUCGACCAAGUAAACCAGAAACACAAAGACUAAAAAGCCACAUUUUUCCCAAAGUGUCUUUACCCAUUUUUAUAUAAUUACUAAGUUUUAAUUUUAUUGGGACAGGCAAUAAUGGACGGUGUAGAUGUGCUGACACUGUCGGUGGGACCGGACAAGCUGCCGGUUAGAUAACAGUGUUUGGGAUCUUGGACCUCGCAAUGCUAUUGGCUAGAAAAGCAGGCGUGUUUGUGGUUCAAGCUGAAGGGAAUCAUGGUCCUUCACCGGCUUCUGUCCUGUCUUAUAGUCCGUGGGUUGUUGGUGUCGCAGCCGGAAACACGUACUGUUCUUAUCCUGCCUCCUUCAUACUCGACGGUGGCCAGACCGUUCAGAGCGUUGGUCUAUCAGGUAAAAUCUAAUUAACUUCUUUUAUUUUUUUUAUAUAAACUAUUGCUUCAACUCCAAGUUACUCCAUAAAACUCCAAAAAUUUUCAUUCAAAACUUAUUUGAAAAACCAAACAUGUUUUGCGAGUUUCAGCAAUCCUCAAUAGAGCAUUUUCUAUAGAAAAUUUAAAACCAUUUACCGAAAAUCGUAUGCUUUCUUAAAUUUUGGAAGAAUUAGCCUAUUUUUUAAUACAACGUUUUUGGUGCUAACUGCUAAAUAAAUAGAAUUCAUUUUUGAAUUGAUUUUAUUCCUGUUUCCAACAAGACAUAGGUAGCAUUGUAGAUAUCACUUGAAAUAAAAUAGUUUAUGGACCAUGUUACAACGUCGUAGCAGUUUUGAUCAUUGUGGUUACAAUAUUCAUAAAAGAAAAUAGGAAUUUACUUUUUUCUUCAUUUUGGGAACUAAAUCUGGGGAGCAUGGAGCCUUCCUAGUGUAUUUGAUCCCAUACUCUCAGGUUUUUACUUUUACAUCACUCAUAUUUUCUAUGUUUUGAAAUUUACCUCCUAAAUUUCAAAUUGUUUGUGUGAGUAGGAAGGAGCUUUGCGAUGUUGUCGGGAACAAGCAUGGCAACUCCUCAUAUAGAAGGGAUCAGUGCGUUCAUAAAGCAGCUUAAUUCUUCUUGGGCUCCGGUGAUGACUGCAUCAGCCAUCUCCAUCACAGCCACCAGAUUUGAUAAUUUUGAUGAAGUUAUAUCUGCGGAGACUUAUAGAAUUGGCAGAUUGGUCCCAUCUAAUCAAUUUGAUCAUGGCGAUGGCCAUGUUAAUCCGGCUAGAGCCAUAGAUCCACGGCUGGUUUUACCCACAGGUAACUACUUUUUACUUAUCACGGGUGUGAAUUGAAAACUUAAAAGGUUAGUGACUUUUAUGUAAUUAGAAAAAAACAUUGUGGUACUUUUAAUAAUACCAAUUUUUGUUCAUUGGACCAGGUUUUGAAGACUACAUCAGUUUCUUGUGUUCACUGCCAAAUAUUAACUCGACCAUGGUUCUAGCCGCCACUAGAGUCUGGUGCACCACUGCGCUUAGCUACCCUGCGAACCUUAACCAUCCAUCAGUGACUAUAUCUGCACUUAAAGGGUCACUUGUGGUGAGAAGAAGUUUCCAAAACGUCUCCAACAAGACCGAGACAAAUCUUGGUUUGGUUUUACCUCCCACUGGUAUAGCCAUACGGUUGAUCCCAUCUUGGUUUACUAUAUGAGUACAGAGAAUCCAAGAUCUAGACAUUGUGUUCGAUGUUACAGAAGUCCUAAACCAGUUUACAGUUGGUGAAAUCGUUCUUACUGGAAGCUUAAACCAUAUUAUAAGAAUACCGUUAUCGGUUAAGACCAUACCGUUUUGAAAAACAUAGCUCUUUUUGUUUUAAAAUCAUUAGUCUUCAUUAAAAAAAAACAAUUAUGUGGUAUUUUUAUCGUAUUUGAUUAAUUUUCUUGUUUUUUUUUCACAUACAUUGUUCUUGUUGUUUUCAACGAAAUGGUUGUGACACACUACAAGUUGAGUAAAACAAAUAUAAUUUGGUAUGUUAUGUUACAGAAAUUUCUAGUUCACAAACAGAAAGAGUCAGCCACAAAAAGGAUGAACAACAAUCACUUAUAUUCUCAAUAUAACACUAGAAUUUUACAAAUACAUAACCAAAUAAAGUGCAAGCGUACCCUUUUGAGGUUGGAGUACAAUCAUAAACUCUCAUCAUUCUUACAUAAUAUCACAUAGCUAUGUUAUACAGAAAGAACGGAUUACAUAAGAAUCUCAUUCAUAUGAAGUCUUUAAAGGUCUACACACAUAUAUUUCGAAAAUUAUAUACUUAACUAGACUGAGCAGUCAUCAUCAAUAUCAACGAUAAGGAGGUGGAUUUGGUCCAAGCGGUUUUGGAAACCAGAGAGCUCCAGGAGGUGGACGAGGUGGCUGAGGUCCCCGAGGAUGAGGAUGAGAAGAAUUAGGAGGGUGCGGCUCUGGAUGCGGUGGUCUUGGUGGCUGUGGGUGGUGGGUAGGAGGAGGAGGACGACGAGGAGGAGGAUGAGGCAUUUUGAUUUUGAGCUUUGUUACUGUAAUAUUUGUGUUGUGUACUUGGUUUAUUUAACAGCAAGAUUGAACAUCAUUG